UACAUAGAUAUAGGAAGAUGUGGUGUGAGUGCCAAUGAGACAACUCUCCAUCAAAAUAACAAUUUAUAAAAGUAAACCAUUAUAGGUCAAUGUACGGCCUUCAACACGGAGCCUUGGCUCACACCGAACAACAAGCUAUAAAGGGCCCCAAAAUUACUAGUGUAAAACCAUUCAAACGGGAAAACCAACAGUCUAGUCUAUAUAAAAA
This 208-nucleotide long non-coding RNA is filed under the name Mytilus galloprovincialis (Mediterranean mussel). Lineage: Eukaryota; Metazoa; Mollusca; Bivalvia; Mytilida; Mytilidae. The record is from RNAcentral.